Molecule: long non-coding RNA, 754 nt
Organism: Neogale vison (American mink)
Lineage: Eukaryota; Metazoa; Chordata; Mammalia; Carnivora; Mustelidae
Exons: 4
Source: RefSeq, a predicted model, not a curated record
AGCAUGCAGUUCAAAAGCUAAACCUCCCAUUGGAGAACAGAAAAUUUAAUGAGCUUUUAAUGGAAUGCAAUGCUCAGAGUAGUAAAUUAUUUGUUAGUUGACGAUGCAAUCAGCAUGCUGAUUAAGGUUGCUUGGUUUUUUACUAAACAUUAACUGAAUGAAAACGGGUAGUCCUUGUUCUGCUUGGGGGGCUUUAAGGAAGCAAAUGGACUUUCAGAACAGAGAUUGUCAAUAAAGGUAUUUACUAUGGAGCUCUGGAACAAAUUUGGAAACGAGAGGACAAAGAGAGAUUUACAAUUGGAAUGGGUUGACACACGCCUUCUGGGAUAUGGUUUGAAGAUUCUGUCACCAGGAAUAUCCAUUCUGACAUUUGGAUGUAUCCUCUGAGAAGGUGCCCAUGACAGACCACACUGGACACGUGCUCAGAUAUUGGGGAAAGUUUCCAUGACACUUGAGUGUGAACCUGUCCAUCACUGAGUUUCCUGACGCAGAGCCACCAAUGUCUCUUUUUAGCUGAUGGAGGCUGGUGCUGCUUUGAAGCAUUGAGAGAUGCCAUGCCAAUUCACAGCAAGGUCUUUAUUGUUGAAACUCCUGCAUAAUGACAUCUUUAUUCAUGUGAAAAUACAGGAUGAUUUUCAACUAUAUGAUAUUGUUUAUGUUCAUCAGAAAUGUUAUUUGUCUUUACAAAGUCUGGUUUCAAUGAACCGGCUAUGUAAUAGAUAUUAAAUAAACAUGGAAUUUUACACAUUCAUAA